This 247-nucleotide ribosomal RNA is filed under the name uncultured bacterium. Its description in RNAcentral is "partial 16S ribosomal RNA". It matches the Rfam family "Bacterial small subunit ribosomal RNA", at positions 523 to 769 of the family's 1533-position model. The record is from RNAcentral.
AUACGGAGGGCGCAAGCGUUGUUCGGAAUUACUGGGCGUAAAGCGCGUGUAGGCGGCUUGGUAAGUCGGGUGUGAAAUCCCGGGGCUCAACCCCGGAACUGCAUCCGAUACUGCCUCGCUCGAGUCCCGGAGAGGAUGGCGGAAUUUCCGGUGUAGAGGUGAAAUUCGUAGAUAUCGGAAGGAACACCAGCGGCGAAGGCGGCCAUCUGGACGGUGACUGACGCUGAGACGCGAAAGCGUGGGGAGC